This 459-nucleotide ribosomal RNA is filed under the name Pseudomonas aeruginosa. RNAcentral's name for it is "bacterial SSU rRNA". It matches the Rfam family "Bacterial small subunit ribosomal RNA", at positions 338 to 794 of the family's 1533-position model. The record is from RNAcentral. Lineage: Bacteria; Pseudomonadati; Pseudomonadota; Gammaproteobacteria; Pseudomonadales; Pseudomonadaceae.
CCUACGGGUGGCUGCAGUGAGGAAUAUUGGUCAAUGGGCGUGAGCCUGAACCAGCCAAGUAGCGUGCAGGAAGACGGCCCUAUGGGUUGUAAACUGCUUUUAUGCGGGGAUAAAGGAGUCCACGUGUGGAUUUUUGCAGGUACCGCAUGAAUAAGGACCGGCUAAUUCCGUGCCAGCAGCCGCGGUAAUACGGAAGGUCCGGGCGUUAUCCGGAUUUAUUGGGUUUAAAGGGAGCGUAGGCCGCGUUUUAAGCGUGUUGUGAAAUGUAGACGCCCAACGUCUGCAUCGCAGCGCGAACUGGGACGCUUGAGUACGCGCAACGUUGGCGGAAUUCGUCGUGUAGCGGUGAAAUGCUUAGAUAUGACGAGGAACUCCGAUUGCGAAGGCAGCUGACGGGAGCGGCACUGACGCUUAAGCUCGAAGGUGCGGGUAUCAAACAGGAUUAGAUACCGGAGUAGU